Molecule: RNA transcript, 7490 nt
Organism: Cebus imitator (Panamanian white-faced capuchin)
Lineage: Eukaryota; Metazoa; Chordata; Mammalia; Primates; Cebidae
Gene: IYD
Gene name: iodotyrosine deiodinase
Exons: 6
Source: RefSeq, a predicted model, not a curated record
UCUCUGCAUUCCUUCCAUCUCCCAGCAUUCUCUGUUUCUAUCUCCGUGUGUUUAAAAACCGGUGUGGGAAGUGUGCACCCCUGUGCAUCAGACUCCGAACCAUGUUCUUCCUGACUCCCAUCUUGGUAGCCAUUCUCUGCAUUUUGGUUGUGUGGAUCUUUAAAAAUGUUAAUAGAAGCAUGGAGAAAAAGAAGGGGGAGGCUACAGCCAGGGCCGAGGCUCGCCCCUGGGUGGAUGAAGACUUAAAAGACAGCACUGACCUGCACCAAGCAGAAGAAGAUGUUGAUGAAUGGCACGAAUCAGAAGAAAAUGUUGAACACAUUCCAUUCUCACAUACCCGCUAUUCUGAGAAGGAAAUGGCUAAGAGAUCUCAGGAAUUUUAUGAACUUCUGAAUAACAGACGGUCAGUCAGGUUCAUAAGUAAUGAGCAAGUCCCAAUGGAAGUCAUUGAUAAUGUCAUCAGAACGGCAGGAACAGCCCCGAGUGGGGCCCACACAGAGCCCUGGACCUUCGUGGUUGUGAAGGACCCAGACAUGAAGCACAAGAUUCGACAGAUCAUCGAGGAGGAAGAGGAGAUCAACUACAUGAAAAGAAUGGGGCAUCGCUGGGUGUCAGACGUCAAGAAACUGAGAACCAAUUGGAUUAAAGAGUACUUGGAUACUGCCCCUGUUCUGAUUCUCAUUUUCAAACAACUACAUGGUUUUGCUGCAAAUGGCAAGAAAAAAGUCCACUACUACAAUGAGAUCAGUGUUUCCAUCGCUUGUGGCAUCCUGCUAGCUGCCCUGCAGGUUAUUGGGGAAAUUAUCCUGAAGGAGCUGGCAUUGAUUUCCUUCCUGAAUCUGUAAGCAGGUAAAUCAUGGAAUCGUGAUUCAGAGUCAGACCGCAGGGCACUGCCACCUGGUUGAGGGUCCUGGAAGAAGCCAGCAAAGCCUGCAGCAAGCUCAGCUCACAAAGCUGCCUGGAAUGCAGGUCUGGUGACUGUCACUACUACUCCUCUCAACUGUGGCCCUCGACUGAGGGUGCUCCUGGGCCGCCCCGCACAUGAAAAGCUGCUGAUGCUGCUCCCCGUGGGGUACCCCAGCAAGGAGGCCACGGUGCCUGACCUCAAGCGCAAACCUCUGGACCAGAUCAUGGUGACGGUGUAGGCAGGGACCCCCAAGGGUGCGGUGGGGAGGCAGCGCGCCUGCUUCUCCCUGUGCCUCUCGCCUGCUCCUCUGGGGUCUCUUGGCUGCCCUUUCCCCAGGUGUCAGGUCUCCCAGUCCCUCCUCUUCUCGGGUGGCCACAAGGUGUCAAGAAGCCUCUCCACACUCUGUGGCACUUCACGCCCCUAAGUCCUGUUUCUUAUCCACUUUGGAAAUGCAUGAACACUUUAUAAAGAACGUGGCCUAGUUUUUAAGUUUUAAAAGUUAUUCUAGAAAAUCGCUAUUGGCUUUUUUCUUUUAUUUUUAAAAACUCACGUAGAGGAGACAGUCAGAAAUUCAUCACAGUCCCAAAAAUUCAGCUACAUGAUGACUCGAAUUUAAAUUUAGAUUAAUCAAAUGGUCUCUUGCUCUUGGAUUUCUGUUGGCUUUUAGACAAAGGAUAUCCUUUUGAGAUAUACUUUUUAAACUGAACUUCAGGGACACCUUGCUAGUUUUGGAUACAUAACCAUUGAAGUAACUAAAAUGUGGCCAGGUGCAGUAGCUCAUGCCUGUAAUCCUUGCACUUUGGGAAGCUAAGGAGGGUGGAUUGCCUGAGCUCAGGAGUUUGAGACCAGCCUGGCCAACAUGGUGAAGCCCCAUUUCUACUAAAAAUACAAAAAAAAAAAAAAUAGCUGGGCACGGUGGCACACGCUUGUAAUCCCAGCUACGCAGUAGGCUGCGGCAGGAGAAUCACUUGAACCUGGGAGAUGGAGAUUGCAGUGAGCUGAUGCUGAGAUGUGCUACUGCACUCCAGACUGGGUGACAGAGUGAGAUUCUGUCUCAAAAAACAAAAACAAAGUCCUUCACAGAACAGGACAGGGCACGCUUGGGUGGCAUGGGCCUCGCUGGCAUGUAAACUGUCCGUUGCACUGCCUAGUGUUGUAGUAGAUCUGACUUGCAGCAAUUCACAGAAGCUGCUAAAUACUCAAGAAUCUUGCAAGCCAAUUAUUAAACAUUCAUAGCUUGAAAUUGCCCAUGGUGGGAGAAUUUACACCACAACCACUACAAAUCAGGGCUUGCUUGCUUUUUCUUAAAGAGAGCUGCUUGCCAUGCAUAGCACCCAUAGGAUCUCCCUUCUCUUCUACCCCACCCCAUGAAACACACUGACCCCUCUUCUCCACAUGAUAGCACAGCUGUUUGGGACUGAUGGGGUCACAGGUGCCAGGUUGGGAAUGCCAGAUGUGGUCUUCACCCAUCACCCUCUGCCGUCCGCCCAGGGGUGUUGCAUGUAAAGGCAAACUCUUACACAGCUUGGAUGAUUUUUUAUCAAGCAACUCCACUGACCUCUUUAUCCCCUUCCACUGUGCCUUUCUUCUUCUUGCUUCUUCUCGUUCUCCUCAUUUUCCUUGAGAAAACCCUCUCUAUAAAAAAUUUCCAUAGGCUAUGUGGCUCACAAACAACAGAAAUUUGUUUCUCACAGUUCUGGAGGCUGGAAGUCCAAGGUCAGGGUACCCGCAUGGUGAGAUGCUGGUGAGGACCCUGACCUGGGUUGCAGACUGCUGACUUCUCAUUGUGUCCUCAUGUAGUAGAAAGAGGGUUAGAGCCUCUGGCAUUCCCUUUAUAAGGGUACUAAUCCCAUCAUGAGGCCCCACCCUCAUGACCUUAUCACCUCCCAAAGGCGCCUCUCCUAAUACCGUCACAUUGGGGGUUAGAGUUUCAACGUAUGAAUUGUGGGGACACAAACAUUCCAUCCAUGGCACUUACUUUUUCGGGUUUGGCAUGCUGUUUGGUACACGGUUAACUUUCAUAAAUGGUGGGUGCCCUUACUGUGGUAGACACCAUUGUCAUUGCAAGGCAGCUCUGAUUGGGAUUCAGGAGAGCAAAGGUAACAAGGGUAGGUGAGGGACUCCCUCCUCUUUAGAGAAGCCUGUCUGUGGAUCAGGGGCAGCUGCAGGGCCAGAUGGAGUUGCCCUGCAGGAAGUCAGACUUACCCCAUCAGAGACCAACUUGAAAGAAUUUUUUCUCCGUGUAAUUGAUAUUAUCCAUCUGAUAUGCAGCCAGGUUAUUUAGUUCCGAAGCAUUGGAGUUGUUGAUUGCUACUGCCCCGUGGUUCUCACUCUUUGCAGGCACUUUUAAAAUUUUUAUUUAAAAAACUACAUACAAUGGAAAGAUCUGGCCAUUACCUUAACCUAGUGAUAAAGUUCUAACACACCAUUAAUGGUAGGAUAACUGACAUUAGGUGCCCCUGUUGGAUGCAUUAUGAAAUAUUCCUUCCAAAGAUGUCAAUGGAAACUAAUCAAGUCUUACACCUAACUUUCAGUUUACAGUAAAUACAGAGGAUAAGGAAGUUAAUGUUGUGGUAGAAUAACUAAAAUGUGCAUCAUUCUACAAGAAAUAGGCCUGGAUUCUUUAAGGAGCAAGUGUCAUUGGGGGAAGAAUGAGAGGGGGACUGUCCCGUUCUUGCUACUCAAAGGGUGGUCCUAGGCCCCUAGCAUCAUUGGCAUCACCCGGGCGCUUAUUAGAAUCAAAGACUCUCAGGUCUCACUCAGACAUCCAGAAUCAAAAUCUGCAUUUUAAUAAGAUCCCCGGGUGACCUGCAUGCCUGCUAAAGCCUGAUCCCUGUUCCAGAUAACCAGAGACCCAACAACCAAAGGCAAAGUGUAAGCCUUGAUUGGAUUUUGCUUUAGGAAAAAUCUCAUGGGUAUAAAAGACAAGUGGGAAUGUUGAAUGUGGAUCUGGUGGUGGGUGAUAUUGUAGUGAUAUGAGUGGUGCAUGCUGACGCACUGAGAGAUGAAGCAUCAUAUUGACAACUUCAGGAAAAAAGAAGGUGCGUGCGUAUGUGUGUUCAGAGAGUGUGAGAGAGAACUGACAUGGUAAAAUGUUAGGUGGAGCAUAUACAGUUCUCAUUAUACUCUUAUCUAAAAUUUAUGUUUGAACACAGUCAAAUCUAAAUGAAAAUACAUGUAAAUAAGCAUUUCUUUGAGUCAUAUAAAUAAUUUGCCUAAAAGAGCCCUCUAAGUACAUCGUUAGGUUAAGCGAUUUACUGAAGACAGCAGAUAUCAUGCUUAUUUCAUUGCAUUGUCUUGGAACGUCCCCCAUUUGGAUAGAUAGAGGUGUGAAAAUGAGAACCGGAGGAGAAAUAAGGUGAGAGGCUCACAUUGCUUGCAGAGAACUGACUGAGUAAUCAAGGAAAGGAGGGAAGCCCUUGGAAGGAACAUAAAAUCCAUUUCAACCUGCCUGCCCCAUGGAAUGGAGGGUCUCCUGUGACCAGAAACACCAGCCACUUCUUCUACCCCAGCACGCCCCACACUAACUUCUGCUGCAGCAUCAUGAUCAGGGCAAAUCAGCACAGUCCCCCAGCCAUCACUGGUGUCUGAAAAAGUAAAGACAAUUUUCUUCCUUCUCUCUGCAGCCCCAAGCUCUUAUUAACCUUCUUUUAUGUGUUCAUUAAAUGCAGUCAUGUGACAACUGUGUUCAAAGUUAGAAAUAGUGGUGUGGGAGGCUUAUAGGUCCUCUUGCUGUUUUGAGGCCUUAAAACAGAAAAAAUAAUGGAAUGAUUGCAUCAUUGUGAGGAAGGAUGCUUAAUUAAGAAACUUGAAAAUGGUUUGUCUUACUGAUAGGACUCACCUGAAGACUCUACUUUGUCAAAAGGGAACACUGAUUUGAAAGCUGUGUUAGCCAGCAUAGGGUAGAGCCACGGUCCUCAUACUUGCUGACGUUACUCAUCUGGGAGUCUGUUAAAGCACAGAUUGCUGGGCCACACCCUCGGGCAUGUGAUUCAGCAGGGCUGCGUGGUGCCCAAAUGCUCCAUUUCUAAAAUAUUCCCAAGUGUUACUGAUACUGGUGAUUGGGUACUACUUUUUGAGAACCACGGGGCACUGGCAAUCACCAAAUGCAAUGCUUCUAUGACUUGACAUGAUAGAAGUUCAUUUCUUGGGCAGGCAAAGUCCCCUGCGAGCCUGGAAACCUUCCAAGACAAUUGCUUGCAUGGGGUAACCCAGUAAUCCUGUAGGAUGCAUCUUCCAGGGCAUGGCUAGAGAAAACACUGGAAGAGCUCACCCCAACAAUUCCAUUCUACCUUGGCCCAGGAGUGACCGCCUCACUCUCACAGACCAUUAGCUAGAACUAGUCAUGUGACCUCACAGGAGGUGGAGCAAUGUUAUCAAUGUUAUCAUCCCCCUGCACCUGCAAGGAAUGGGGCCCAGAUGUGCAUAGGUGCUGGAUGUCUCUUCUCCAAAAUACAUGACUGAAUUUGAAAAAUAAAACUGGAUAUAACAACAAAGAAAAGGAGGGGAGAAGGAAAGUUGAAGAAAAUGGUGAAAUCAGAAUAGGACAGUGAAAGGCAUAUUUUCUUCUGGAACACUAAGACUGGUUGAUAUUUGUCUGACACAGCUCAGCAUCACUUUGGGUCAAAGAAAAUCAAUACAAACAUACAUAAAGCAGAUCUAAGAUUGACUUAUUCCUAGACAUUCCUGCAUCUGCCCACAAAAUGGAAACUUCCAUCAAGAAGUACAGGAGAGUCUAGCAUUUCUUCUUAUUUGCUCCUCCCUGUGAAAGGAAGGGUGACUUCUCUGAUGCAUUAAAUUGGUGGUAAAUAGUUAUUGCUCAUGCUCAAACCCCAACAAAGUGCACCCCAUUUUAAGACAAAUUUAGAAACUGGGGAUGAUUCGCCUUGCAAAGAUGAUCCACCAAUUGGUUUCUCUAUUUACUUUAUUCUUGCUCUGUCACCCAGGCUAGAAUGCAUUGGUGUGAUUGUGGCUUACUGCAGCCUCCAACUUCUGGACUCAAGUGAUCCUCUUGCCUCAACCUCCCAGGUAGCUGGCACUACAAGUGCACACCAUCACAUCCAGGCUAGUUUUUCUAAAUAUUGGAGUUCCCGAAGAGUAUUCAAACUGCUGUGAAGACAUUUUGUAAGCAUCUUUUAGGACUAUCCAUAACUGGAAGAAAAACACAUAGUUAUCAGUGGAUAUUGCGCCUGAGAGGCAUGAGAAAUAUAAUUGUUAUUUUGCUAGGUAUCAGCAGAGUGCUCUCUUACAAUAUGUGUGAAACAGAAACAAUGGUAAUGCCAUGUUUUCAAUUCACUCAUAGAUACAAGUAAUGAGAGGUACAGAAGAAAGGUUGCUCCAGCUCUGCUGCUACUGUGCCUUCCCUCUCCUGCCCCCACCCACCUCACAAAAAAGGCUGGAGACUCAAAAAUGGCUGCGUUUCUCUACCUUUUAGAAAGUGUGAAUAGCAGAGAACUGGAGGUGGGGAAGGUAAGGAAGUGGAGGCAAUGGGCCGAUGCAUCUAAGGCUGAUGCCAGGUCCGCUCCCUAUCUGGGUGGCCUCAGCUAAUGACGUCCAGGACAUCCAGGGGCAGGCACAAGGGAGAACAGUCCCUGAAGCUGAGAUCCUGCCAAGCUAAAUACAGUAGUUCUAAUGAAAUGUGAGAGGCUAUAAUCUCAUUUGGGAAAUUCCUAAAAAGUCACGAGACAGAGGAAUGGUUUAUGUUAUUAUCAUGACCUGAGAGUCAUGGCUCAGAGCCAAAUGUUCAGGAUUAAAUUCAACAGCACAUAAAUGUCUUUAGAGUGAGAUGGAAAUAUGUUAGCAAUGCCUGCAGAGUGCCAAGUAAAUGCAGAAGCCAAUGAGAUCAUAAAGGAAGUUGUUAGCUAACCUAGGUGGAAUCUCCAACGUCCUUCUACUCUAAUAAUUAAAAAUAAAAAUAGUAAUUAAGAGGUAAUUGGAAUAAAGGUUCUAAAAUCAAACCCCUCUGAAGGGUGAAGACUGGGAGCCUCCUGUUGCCACAGUAACGCCGGCACUCAGAGCACUGUCUCCCAGCGCUGGAGUAUUGUCUUCUGACCUGAGCUCCUAAGCAACCUCUGCUCAUCUGAGACAUCCGCCAUAUUGUGGGCAUGAAUCCUUAACAAUAGUAAAUAGUAAAUCAGUUCCCUUGUUGGGCAAAUGACUUAAGUCUGGGAAUGUGUAGAAUUAAUUACGAAAAUGAUGCAAUAAUUCAAAUCCAUAAUAUUGAUACUUUCAUGUUAAGUUUAGGAAUAAUCUUGUGUAUUUUCCGUAAGUGAUUUGAAUCUUUAAAAAGCUUAUAUGAUUCCAAUCUGAAAUGUGAAAUUUAAGUUUGUCAUUUGAAGUUGAAAGGUAUAAGAAUAUUUAACUUAACUCAUUAAUGGUAUUAGACUAGAUUUACUGUGUUUAUAAGUUAAAUGUAUUAGAUUUACAAGGGACGUUCAAGUAUAUGAGAAUGUUUCAUCUUAAUUUGGUAUAAUCUUGCCAUAUCAAUGAUUUGAAGCACUAAAAUAGAAAACCAAAUAUGAUAAAUUAUACAAGCAGUUUAGAAUGUUUAAGAGAUUUUAAUAAACAAAGCCUGUAACUGAGA